This 946-nucleotide ribosomal RNA is filed under the name Acinetobacter schindleri. Its description in RNAcentral is "bacterial SSU rRNA". It matches the Rfam family "Bacterial small subunit ribosomal RNA", at positions 560 to 1474 of the family's 1533-position model. The record is from RNAcentral. Lineage: Bacteria; Pseudomonadati; Pseudomonadota; Gammaproteobacteria; Moraxellales; Moraxellaceae.
UAAAAGCCGCCCGUCAGGCGGCUUUGUUAAGUUCGGAAUGUGAAAUUCCCUGGGGCUUCAACCUUGGGAAUUGGCAUUCGGAUAACUGGACAGGCUAGGAGUUCUGGUAGAGGAUGGGUUAGAAUUUCCCAGGUUUUAGCCGGUGAAAAUGCGUGGAGAUCUGGAGGAAUACCCGAUGGCGAAGGCCGGCCUCCUGGCCUAAAGACUGACGUUCAGGUGCGAAACCUUGGGGAGCAAACCAGGAUUGGAUACCCUGGUAGUCCACGCGGUAACCGAGGUCGAUUGGCAGUUGGGCCCUUGGAGGAUUAGUUGCCGAAGCUACCGCGUUAAGUGGACCCCUUGGGGAGUCCGGCGCCAGGCUUAAAAUUCAAAGGAAUGGCCGGGGGCCCGCCCAACCGGUGGACCAUGUGGUUUAAUUGGAUGCAACGGGAGGACCUUUCCUUGCCCUGGCCAUCCAAGAAAUUUCCCAGAGAUGAUUUGGUCCUUUCGGGAAUUAGGAGCCAGGUGCUCCAUGGCGUUCUUCAGUUCGUUUGGUGAAAUGUUGGGUUAAUUCCCGCAACGAGCGCAACCUUUUUCCUAUGUUGCCACCGGUUAGGCCGGGAACUCUAAGGAUACUGCCAGUGACAAACUGGAGGAAGGCGGGGACGACGUCAAGUCAUCAUGGCCCUUACGACCAGGGCUACACACGUGCUACAAUGGUCGGUACAAAGGGAUGCUACCUCGCGAGAGGAUGCUAAUCUCAAAAAACCGAUCGUAGUCCGGAUUGCAGUCUGCAACUCGACUGCGUGAAGUCGGAAUCGCUAGUAAUCGCGGAUCAGAAUGCCGCGGUGAAUACGUUCCCGGGCCUUGUACACCCCGCCCGUCACCCCAUGGGAGUUUGUUGCCCCAUGAAGGUAAGGUAAGUCCUAACCGCAAGGAGGACGCUAACCCAACGUGGCCCAGGGGC